UACGAAGGGGGCUAGCGUUGCUCGGAAUCACUGGGCGUAAAGCGCACGUAGGCGGAUUGCUAAGUCAGGGGUGAAAUCCUGGAGCUCAACUCCAGAACUGCCCUUGAUACUGGCGGUCUCGAGUCCGGGAGAGGUGAGUGGAACUGCGAGUGUAGAGGUGAAAUUCGUAGAUAUUCGCAAGAACACCAGUGGCGAAGGCGGCUCACUGGCCCGGUACUGACGCUGAGGAGCGAAAGCCAGGGGAGCAAACGGG
RNAcentral lists this ribosomal RNA (253 nucleotides) under uncultured bacterium. RNAcentral describes it as "partial 16S ribosomal RNA". It matches the Rfam family "Bacterial small subunit ribosomal RNA", at positions 524 to 776 of the family's 1533-position model. The record is from RNAcentral.